RNAcentral lists this ribosomal RNA (3207 nucleotides) under Triticum aestivum (bread wheat). RNAcentral describes it as "partial small subunit ribosomal RNA". The record is from RNAcentral. Lineage: Eukaryota; Viridiplantae; Streptophyta; Magnoliopsida; Poales; Poaceae.
AUGGCGAACAAUUUGGAACAUACAAGCGCGACAAUGCGGGAGUUUACACUCGAGUUAUUGAAACAAAUUACGGACAAUUUUUCUGAGGAACAUAUUAUUGGUCGUGGUGGGUAUGGAGUAGUUUACAAGGGAGUAUUGGACGAUGGAGAAGAGAUUGCUCUCAAAAAGCUUCAUCACAUUCCAGGUCUUGACGACGCGCAAUUCAGGAAUGAGUUCAAUCACCUAAUGAGGGUCCAACAUCCAAACAUUACCCGGCUAGUUGGCUACUGCUAUAAUCUAGGACAUCAACGCAUUAAGUGUGAUGAUGAAUAUAUUUUUGCCCAUGUGGAAGAAAGAGUUCUCUGCUUCGAAUACUUGCAGGGUGGAAGCCUUGACAGGCAUAUUUCGGAUGAAUCAUGUGGACUCGAUUGGCACACACGUUUCAAAAUUAUCAAGGGAGUCUGUGAGGGAUUAAAUUACCUUCAUAAUGGAUGCAAAGAUCCUAUUUACCACCUUGAUUUGAAACCUGCGAAUAUACUGCUGGACAAGAACAUGAUCCCAAAAAUUGGAGAUUUUGGUUUGUCAAGACUCUUCCCUUUGGCACAAACUUAUGUCACCAUUAAAAUUGUAGGAACACUUGGAUACAUGCCACCGGAAUACAUCGAGAGAUACCAAAUCACAUCGAAGUUCGACGUAUUCAGUUUGGGUGUUAUAAUCAUACGAAUAAUAGCAGGAGAUGAGGGGUACUCCAAAUGUGCAGAUAUGUCUUCGCCAGACUUUCGUGAGCAUGUACGUGAAAACUGGGAAAAACGAAUGGAGGCAACAAUGUCAUGGCAUACAUCAGAGCAAAUUGAGAUGUGCAUCGAGAUAGGAUUGAGAUGUGUGGAGCUCGACCGGGAGAGAAGGCCUACUAUAGCUGAGAUUGUCGAUGAACUGAACAAGGUUGAUAGUGCAGAAAGUUCACUUGCAGGCCAGGUCACCAAGAAGAAAAACUUGUACUCAGAGCGUCGAGGCAGAAUCGUUUUCUCAACCGCCUACAGGCCCCCAGUGCCAUUCGACAUAUUCGCCUGCCCCUUCUCACCUUCGUGCACUAAUGAAGAGCUCCACCUCACUGAUGGUGUGUCCUACAACUACAACGGCUGUUCCAUCCCUCCCGCCGCAUUGAAGACCCUCCUCAAGAACCCCAAGUUGGCAGAAGAGGACGGCACCACUGAUGCCGACGUUGAUGCGGGUCACGUCUCUGGUCUCAUCUUUGUCUCUGAGAGGAAUGACGGCCUAGAGAUACUCCACAUCGCUCUGCACUUUAAUGUGGACAGCAGGGUCAAGGUAUUCGCGCUGGCCGACAUCUUCGGCGCAGCCAACUUCAUUGGCCCGCGCCUGGAGGACAGUGGCUGCAUCGGCGGCGGAUAUAAUGUGGGGUCUCGCAUGGUUGGCCACUCUCUCAUAUACACCUCCACCAAGGAACCGGUGCAGCAAUGUCGCAGUCCCUGGACCGUCGUGUACAAAACCAACCUUUCAACAGGCAAGACCGAGCGCCUCACUCCACAAGGUGUCUUCGACUUGAGCCCCGCUGUGUCGCCGUCCGGGAAGAUGGUAGCAGUGGCGUCGUUUCAAAGCAAGAGUUGGAAUGGUGAGAUCGAGAACCUCAAGACCGACAUCUAUGUUAUGAACGUUGAUGGUGAGGACGGCCUGGGCCGGAAGCUACUCAUCAAGAACGGAGGCUGGCCAUCAUGGGGCAGCGACAACAUCAUCUUUUUCCACCGAGGCACCGAGAAGACCCUUCCCUUCAACAUGGUUGAAACGGCAUGGGGUGUUUUCCGGUACAAGAUCAGUACCGAGGAGACCAUGGAGGUGACUCCAAAAGAAUUGGACGCGGUGACUCCAGCGGCCAUCAGCGAGACCAAGGUAGCGGUGGCGACCAUCCGCCAGAAGUCCAGAUUUGACAACGUCCGCGUUGAGGUGCAAUACCGGCACAUCGAGAUUUUCGACACGAAUAAUGCGCCGGGGAUGCAGCCGGUGCAGAUCACUCAGAAGACGAGGCCAAAAACGGACCACUACAACCCCUUCGUGCGGGACAAUGGGGGGCGCAUUGGAUACCACCGGUGCAGGAGCGACCUCCUGCAGCACGGAGACCACAUCCCCUCGAACUUGCACAAGAUUGUCUCCCCGGUGAAGGAUGUCGGUUUGUAUCGGGUGUCUGGCUUGUCUCCGACCAUUUCCAAGGACGGCUCCAAGCUCGCCUUCGUCGACGGAGAGUUCAAGGCAGUGUGGGUGGCCGACCACCGAGGGCUGCGCAUCGUGUACGAUUACAGGGGCCCACACAGAGUCUUCUCCCCUGUGUGGAACCAGAACCCCGACAAGGACAUCCUCUAUGUCUGCAUUGGCACCUCCUUCAACGCCGACAAGACGCUGGAGAUCUACGCCAUUAACAAUGCAUCUGGUGACGUGGUGCAGCGGCAGAGACUCACCUAUGGCGGUUACAACAACGCGUUCCCAUCGAGCAGCCCAGACGGCAGCAAAUUCGUCUUCCGCUCGACAAGGGAUGGCGGUGUGAAGAAGUACAAAAAUCUCCACAUAAUGCUGGAAGCAGAAAACGGGCAAUCCGGGAUUGGUUGGGAGACGCGGCUGACCAAAGGACCAUGGACAGACACCCACUGCCAAUGGUCCCCGACAGGCGACUGGAUCGUCUUCUCGUCGACGCGCGGCAAGCCCCGGGACGCCGACGAGCUGGACAACGGCCUGGACCCGGGGUACUUCUCCGUGUAUCUGGUGAAGCCAAGCGACCCGAUGGUGGUGAUCAGGGUGAUGGACAGCAUGGGCGACCUCGGCGGUCACAUAAACCAUCCGGUGUUCAGCCCAGACGGGAGGAGCAUCGCCGUGACGGCAGACCUCGCGGCUGUGUCCGUGGACCCGAUCUCGCUGCCCAUGUUCAUGCACGCGGUGCGGCCCUAUGGCGACAUCUUCAUGAUCGACCUCGACACUGACAACUUGAAGAACAUAAACAACUUCAUCAAGGGGUUCCGCCGGAUCACGCACAGCAGGUACGAGUGCGGGACGCCGGCCUGGACGACAACCUUGAUGGCGACGGCGACCGACCUAGAUGCGCAGGCGCAGUGGAACAUGCUACCGAACACAACGUAUACACCGGCUUGUCCGUACGUGCACCUUUACGGGGGCGAGAGCUGGCACAUGACAGGCCACCUCUUCAUCCCCAAGAGGAGUUGCUGA